Molecule: non-coding RNA, 21 nt
Filed under: Caenorhabditis elegans
Lineage: Eukaryota; Metazoa; Nematoda; Chromadorea; Rhabditida; Rhabditidae
Source: RNAcentral
UGCGUCAUCGUCGCGUCGUGA